This 514-nucleotide ribosomal RNA is filed under the name bacterium enrichment culture clone ALO1_GLFRUDD03HJ7A2. RNAcentral's name for it is "bacterial SSU rRNA". It matches the Rfam family "Bacterial small subunit ribosomal RNA", at positions 9 to 517 of the family's 1533-position model. The record is from RNAcentral.
GAGUUUGAUCUUGGCUCAGAUUGAACGCUGGCGGCAGGCCUAACACAUGCAAGUCGAGCGGAUGACGGGAGCUUGCUCCUUGAUUCAGCGGCGGACGGGUGAGUAAUGCCUAGGAAUCUGCCUGGUAGUGGGGGACAACGUUUCGAAAGGAACGCUAAUACCGCAUACGUCCUACGGGAGAAAGCAGGGGACCUUCGGGCCUUGCGCUAUCAGAUGAGCCUAGGUCGGAUUAGCUAGUUGGUGGGGUAAUGGCUCACCAAGGCGACGAUCCGUAACUGGUCUGAGAGGAUGAUCAGUCACACUGGAACUGAGACACGGUCCAGACUCCUACGGGAGGCAGCAGUGGGGAAUAUUGGACAAUGGGCGAAAGCCUGAUCCAGCUAUGCCGCGUGUGUGAAGAAGGUCUUCGGAUUGUAAAGCACUUUAAGUUGGGUAGGAAGGGCAGUAAGUUAAUACCUUGCUGUUUUGACGUUACCGACAGAAUAAGCACCGGCUAACUCUGUGCCAGCAGCCG